AGAGUUUGAUCCUGGCUCAGAACGAACGCUGGCGGCAUGCCUAACACAUGCAAGUCGAACGCCUGUAGCAAUACAGGAGUGGCGCACGGGUGAGUAACGCGUGGGAACCUGCCCUGGAGUGGGGGAUAACCGAGGGAAACCUCGGCUAAUACCGCAUACGACCUGAGGGUGAAAGAUUUAUCGCUCUAGGAGGGGCCCGCGUCGGAUUAGCUAGUUGGUGAGGUAACGGCCCACCAAGGCUAUGAUCCGUAGCUGGUCUGAGAGGAUGAUCAGCCACACUGGGACUGAGACACGGCCCAGACUCCUACGGGAGGCAGCAGUGGGGAAUAUUGGACAAUGGGCGCAAGCCUGAUCCAGCAAUGCCGCGUGAGUGAUGAAGGCCUUAGGGUUGUAAAGCUCUUUCGCACGCGACGAUGAUGACGGUAGCGUGAGAAGAAGCCCCGGCUAACUUCGUGCCAGCAGCCGCGGUAAUACGAAGGGGGCGAGCGUUGUUCGGAAUUACUGGGCGUAAAGGGCGCGCAGGCGGCGCGACAAGUCAGGCGUGAAAGCCCCGGGCUCAACCUGGGAAUUGCGUUUGAUACUGUCGUGCUGGAGUUCGGGAGAGGAGAGUGGAAUUCCCAGUGUAGGGGUGAAAUUCGUAGAUAUUGGGAAGAACACCGGUGGCGAAGGCGGCUCUCUGGACCGAUACUGACGCUGAGGCGCGAAAGCGUGGGGAGCAAACAGGAUUAGAUACCCUAGUAGUCC
This 744-nucleotide ribosomal RNA is filed under the name uncultured bacterium. RNAcentral's name for it is "bacterial SSU rRNA". It matches the Rfam family "Bacterial small subunit ribosomal RNA", at positions 8 to 796 of the family's 1533-position model. The record is from RNAcentral.